Molecule: non-coding RNA, 200 nt
Organism: Oryza glumipatula
Lineage: Eukaryota; Viridiplantae; Streptophyta; Magnoliopsida; Poales; Poaceae
Source: Rfam
GAAAAAAGAUACAUUUUAUUCUCAUGUCCAACUUUAAUUGUCUAUCUUAUUUAAACUUUUUUAUAAUUAAUAUUUUUAUUAUUAUUAGAUGAUAAAACAUGAAUAAUAUUUUAUACGUGACUUAUGUUUUUAAUAUUAAAAAAAUAAAAAAUAAUAUGGAUGAUUAAAAUUAGACACGAAAACUCAUAACCACGCUUGAA